Molecule: ribosomal RNA, 433 nt
Filed under: uncultured bacterium
Lineage: Bacteria
Description: partial 16S ribosomal RNA
Rfam family: Bacterial small subunit ribosomal RNA
Source: RNAcentral
AACGAACGCUGGCGGCAUGCCUAACACAUGCAAGUCGAACGAGACCUUCGGGUCUAGUGGCGCCUGGGUGUGUAACGCGUCGGAACCUGCACUUAGGUUUGGCAUACCUACCCGACUGGGGUGCUUAUACCAGAUCAUGUCUUCGGACCAAAGAUUUUUCGCACUAGUUGGGGCCCGAGUUGGAUAAGCUAGUUGUUAGGGUAAUAGCUUAAUAAGGCGACGAUCCAUAGCUGGUUUGAGAGGCUGGGCAGCCACACUGAGACUAAGACACGGCCGAGACUCCUACGGGAGGCGGCAGAGGGGAAUAGAGGAAAGUGGGCUGAGGCCUGAUCCUGCAAUGCCGCGUGAGUGCUGAAGGCAGUGGAGUAGAAAAGCGCUUGUACCCGGGAAGAUAAUGACGGUACCGAGAGAAUAAGCCCCGGCUAACUCCGUG